This 459-nucleotide ribosomal RNA is filed under the name uncultured bacterium. RNAcentral's name for it is "partial 16S ribosomal RNA". It matches the Rfam family "Bacterial small subunit ribosomal RNA", at positions 338 to 795 of the family's 1533-position model. The record is from RNAcentral.
CCUACGGGUGGCUGCAGUGAGGAAUAUUGGUCAAUGGCCGGGAGGCUGAACCAGCCAAGUAGCGUGAAGGAAGACGGCCCUACGGGUUGUAAACCUCUUUUAUAAGGGAGCAAGGUGCAGGUCGGGACCUGCUGUGUAAGUACCUGAAGAAUAAGCAUCGGCUAACUCCGUGCCAGCAGCCGCGGUAAUACGGAGGAUCCGAGCGUUAUCCGGAUUUAUUGGGUUUAAAGGGUGCGCAGGCGGAUGAACAAGUCAGCGGGAAAAUCGCGGGGUUCAACCCAGCUUCGCCGUUGAAACUGUGUCCCUUGAGUGCGCGAAGGGUAGGCGGAAUGCGUGGUGUAGCGGUGAAAUGCAUAGAUAUCACGAAGAACUCCGAUCGCGAAGGCAGCUCACCGGAGCGCAACUGACGCUGAUGCACGAAAGCGUGGGUAUCGAACAGGAUUAGAUACCCGGGUAGUC